GGGGAGCCGUAGAGAAAUCGAGUCUUAAUAGGGCGUUUAGUUGCUGGGUAUAGACCCGAAACCAGGUGAUCUAUCCAUGAGCAGGUUGAAGGUUGGGUAACACUAACUGGAGGACCGAACCCACUGUCUUUGAAAAGCCAGGGGAUGACUUGUGGAUAGGGGUGAAAGGCUAAUCAAACUCGGUGAUAGCUGGUUCUCCCCGAAAGCUAUUUAGGUAGCGCCUCGGACGAACACCAUUGGGGGUAGAGCACUGUUUCGGCUAGGGGGUCAUCCCGACUUACCAAACCGAUGCAAACUCCGAAUACCAAUGAGUACUAUCCGGGAGACAGACUGCGGGUGCUAACGUCCGUAGUCAAGAGGAAAACAAUCCAGACCGCCAGCUAAGGCCCCAAAAUUAUAGUUAAGUGGGAAACGAUGUGGGAAGGCACAGACAGC
Molecule: ribosomal RNA, 435 nt
Filed under: uncultured Isochrysis
Lineage: Eukaryota; Haptophyta; Isochrysidales
Description: partial Bacterial large subunit ribosomal RNA
Rfam family: Bacterial large subunit ribosomal RNA
Source: RNAcentral